UGAGCUUGUUUUCAUUGAGCCGCAGGU
RNAcentral lists this non-coding RNA (27 nucleotides) under Mus musculus (house mouse). Lineage: Eukaryota; Metazoa; Chordata; Mammalia; Rodentia; Muridae. The record is from RNAcentral.